CAGCCGCCGCGGUAAUACGUAGGGCGCAAGCGUUGUCCGGAAUUAUUGGGCGUAAAGAGCUCGUAGGCGGUCUGUCGCGUCUGGUGUGAAAUCCCGAGGCUCAACCUCGGGCUUGCAUCGGGUACGGGCAGACUAGAGUGCGGUAGGGGAGACUGGAAUUCCUGGUGUAGCGGUGGAAUGCGCAGAUAUCAGGAGGAACACCGAUGGCGAAGGCAGGUCUCUGGGCCGCAACUGACGCUGAGGAGCGAAAGCAUGGGGAGCGAACAGGAUUAGAUACCCGCGUAGUCCCUGUCUCUUAUAA
Molecule: ribosomal RNA, 301 nt
Filed under: uncultured bacterium
Lineage: Bacteria
Description: partial 16S ribosomal RNA
Rfam family: Bacterial small subunit ribosomal RNA
Source: RNAcentral